GCCGGAGUGGUGGAAUUGGUAGACACGCAGCCUUGAGGGGGCUGUAGCGAAAGCUGUGAGAGUUCGAGUCUCUCCUUCGGCACCA
RNAcentral lists this transfer RNA (85 nucleotides) under Gammaproteobacteria bacterium. RNAcentral describes it as "tRNA-Leu". It matches the Rfam family "tRNA". From Rfam's summary of the family: Transfer RNA (tRNA) molecules are approximately 80 nucleotides in length. Lineage: Bacteria; Pseudomonadati; Pseudomonadota; Gammaproteobacteria. RNAcentral also lists the same sequence under 2 other names. The record is from RNAcentral.